RNAcentral lists this non-coding RNA (46 nucleotides) under Schistosoma curassoni. Lineage: Eukaryota; Metazoa; Platyhelminthes; Trematoda; Strigeidida; Schistosomatidae. The record is from RNAcentral.
GCACUGCUGAGGAGUCUUGCAGUAGGACGAAACGGCCGUCCAGUGC